This 256-nucleotide ribosomal RNA is filed under the name uncultured prokaryote. RNAcentral describes it as "partial 16S ribosomal RNA". It matches the Rfam family "Bacterial small subunit ribosomal RNA", at positions 522 to 777 of the family's 1533-position model. The record is from RNAcentral.
AAUGCGUAGGGUGCAAGCGUUGUCCGGAAUUAUUGGGCGUAAAGAGCUCGUAGGCGGUUUGUCGCGUCGACUGUGAAAACCCGAGGCUUAACCUCGGGCCUGCAGUCGAUACGGGCAGACUAGAGUUCGGUAGGGGAGACUGGAAUUCCUGGUGUAGCGGUGAAAUGCGCAGAUAUCAGGAGGAACACCGGUGGCGAAGGCGGGAUCCUGGGCCAGUACUGACGCUGAGGAGCGAAAGCGUGGGGAGCAAACAGGA